AGUGGUGGAUGGAGGGGUUCAUUCGAACCCUUAUCGGCGGAAAAUUAUAUUAUUUUUAUAUGGUUAAAAUAAUCUUUUUGGUAUAGUAGAUGUCGACCAACAGAACUCAAGAGAGCCCAGUAGAAAACAGAGAGAGUAGAAGGUAGCAAGCAAGAAGCUAGAAAAAAGGAAAAAUAAUAAGACAGUCGAUAAGAAAAAACUGGAAUUCGAUCUUGGAAAUAGGAGAAAAAAGCUCAUCAUAACCGUGAAAGUCAGUCCUUAUAGCAUAGCAAACGUUCCACUUAUAGGCUCCCGAACCCUCGAUUCGAUUGUUUUCCAAGAAUGUUGAGCCGGGUAUGUAAUUCCUACGGCUUUUUCGUAUGUCUAUUUUGAAUCCAUUAUCGAAAAUUCUGACUCCGCCUCUGCUUUUUUAACUUUGAUACUUGUUAAUUACAAAAGAAAAAAGAUAAUUUAUUUUUAAAUAAAAAAUAUCAUAAAGUACUGGC
RNAcentral lists this long non-coding RNA (485 nucleotides) under Solanum lycopersicum (tomato). RNAcentral's name for it is "partial TCONS_00168753". The record is from RNAcentral. Lineage: Eukaryota; Viridiplantae; Streptophyta; Magnoliopsida; Solanales; Solanaceae.